GCAAGCAAGAAGUUAGCAUUGAUAAGAAAUAAGACUGAGAAUAAAAUGGAAAAAUAUUAUAAUGCCAUUAUGUAAAUUAGCGGUAUGGCCUCAUCUAGAAUCACAUGUACCAUGCUAGUCACCCCUUUUCAAAAAGGAUAUUACAGAAUAAGAGGAGGUUCAGAGAAAGAUUAGGGACACAAUAAAACUCUCAUAUGGUGAGAGACUGGGAUUCCUUCCGUUAGAGAGGAGAUGAAUAAGAAGGCACCCGAUAAAACUAUAUAACAUAGUUAAUGGUCUAUAAAAGGUAAAUAGGGAGGUUCUGUUCUCGUAACACAAGAACAAGAGGACAUUAAAUUAAACAGAAAAGUGGAAAAUUAAAAAGAGUUAUAAAAGGAAAUACUUUUUCACACAUACUGAUUGGACCAUGGAACUUAUUGCCACCUGAUAUCACUGAGGUCGUGAAGUUAGUGAGGUUCCAAAAAGGGCUGGAAACUUAUAUGGAUAACAAGUAUAUCCAGAGUUAUACGUGAUACUAGUUAAUCCAAAAAAUAAAUAAACAUUGAAAUUUACCCCUAACUCUUUGGAGUUAAUAUAAGACUGUGAUGGGGACAGAUUAUCCCAUAUCUGCCUACUAUGGGAUUUCUUGCAAUUUUCUCUGAAGCAUUUGGUGCUGGUUACAAUCAGAGACAGGAUACUGGACUAGACAGAUGACAGGCCUGAUCCAGUAUAGCAAUUUCUAUGUUCCUAUGGAUCGCCACAAUGCUUCCUGGCCCUUCAGCCUUCCCUGGACUCCAGUGGAACAUGGAACUAUGACAGUCCACAGUGCUGAUGGCUUGUGGACCCAGCCCCCCCUCCCCAACCCCAGAAUGCCAGGAGUACAGGUAGCGCACACCUCCCAGCCAGGGCCAUCGCAGGGUGGGACUGGAGCCCCAUGCAGAACAGGAAGCAGGGGGAUCUAAGGGUGGGGCCAUGCCUGGGUGUUUGAGGAGGCACAGCCUUCCCUGCCGUCCAUGGUGAUAUAGUCUCUAAUUACAUGAUCACUAAAGCUCUUUCUGCACAGCCCUGAAGUUCGGACUAUAAGGGUGCGAACUGCAGCACGCACUUGUGUGCUGCGCUAUAACUCCCCAGUGUGGAGGCUGCUGAGGAUAGCAGGUUGGUGGCAUUCUUCUCCUUUCAUCCAGCAUAGUGACAGUGUUCCUGUCCCUGCCUCUUAAAUCUGGAAGUACAUCAUGACAAGGACCUAUUUAAAUUCAACACUUUAAUAUGUGUCUUGCUCAUGUUAGACAGAAAGUGGUACCCAAAUAUAUAAACAGUGCGGAGCCAAAUUCUACCCUAACAUGGGCAUCCUCUCCCCCCUACUGAACAUAUCUGAAAUCAGAAUGUGGCCUUCAUAAUGGAUAAAUGGUGCAUGAGUGCAAACCCCUAAGAUACUGUGUGCUGUUAUGCCUGUUUACAGCACUAGAUAAACAGAAUACUGGACAGAGCAUACACCCCUGGAGCCACUAAGAACAUAUGGCAUAAUCCAAGACAGGUGUUUGCAAAUCCAAAUGAUCGCAUUAGGCUACAACCUGAAUGACAGCAGUAGGAUUUUGUAGUUUAUGUAGAACCCUAAAUUAAAUUGUCACUGUGAAUUUGUGGAAGGCACCUAAAUGGGGUGAAAGGGAGUUAUGAUUUCUUCUUGCAGGGUAGGAUGCAAUUUCUUCCAAUUACUUUAGCCUACAUUUUGCUUGAAGUAUAACUUUUAAAAACAUUUUUUAAAUGGUUACUUAGGUUUUUUAAAGAAAUGUGUCCAGCAGUGUGUCACUGGACUUUGGGGUCUCUGGAAUAUACAUAAGUUCUUUCCAGGAUGAAUCAUUUGAACACAUGCUGAAUAAUGGAAACCUGCUUGGAUUGAUGAAUUCAGAUUGGCUUUGGUAGCUGUCCAUUCUAAGUCAAUAGAUUAAUACACAUAAAUGAUCAAGUUUAGCUGAAACUACUGUUCAAUAUUGUAAACUGCCAACUUUAUAAUCCUUAAGCAAAAAAUAGUUUUUCUCCCCAACAAAGACUUUUUAUAAAAGCAAUAAGGUAACUGCAUGAAGUGUGCUUAUCAUGAUAUAAUCACACCCCAGGGGGAAUGAGAGGUGCUCGACUGUACCUCAUGCUUUGUAAUGACCCAGGGGUGUGAUUAUCUUAUGAUAACCACACUCCCUGUCAUGCCUUAUUGCAUAUAUAUUCCACAUGUCAUAAUGAAUCCUGAAGCACUUUCUAGGUCUCGUAGCAAAGGCAAUGACUUUGAAGUAUAGGAAGUAGCCAGAUUUUCUAGGUACAUACAGAUUAAUAUUGUAUACAUGAGGAGGAAUUAUGAAUGACUACUUAUCUGUACUAGCCAGGCCAUAGUUUUUAACUGUUUCUGGGAACUUUAGGUUUCACGUUAUGUUUUAUUGGUGCAUGUUAAAUUGUUCUAUCAAAAUGCAAUGUAAUAGCUAAGUAAAAUAUACCAUCAUAUUCUAGUACCAUCAAGGCAAUGACAUCUGUGACACAACUAGCUCAUACUUUCCUGGUAGGAUCAUCCUAUAGGAAAGGAUGUGAUUAUCUGGCUUUACUCUAGAAAUCAUUGUACUUUUAGUUACCCUUUAAUCAAGAAUUAUAGCCACUCUGGUUAUAGUGUUCUGAAUCUUGUGGUCCAGGUUUCACCAACGGUGAAAGAGAAAGGAAGGGUUGAUAGAACUGUCAGGAGUCCUUUUCAAUGGUGGCUGAAUAUCAGAUAGGCCUCUCUGCUUCUGGAGUUACAUCAGGAAGUUGUAUGUCAUCUGGAGACAUCUAUUUAGUUUUAAAAUCCUACACUUUAAUAGUAAAAAUAGUAUUACAUUCUAAUUAAAAUGAAUAGGGUUAAUGGGAGGUCCAUAAGGGAACUGGAAGACCAAGGUCAAGGGACUUCUGAAUUCACAAUUAUGGACUGACAUAAAAGGCAACAGGAUAAUAAACUAAGCAAUUAUCUUUGAUAUACCUUAUGAUAUAAUCGCACCACAGGGAGAAUCUGCACCUCCGGGAAUGGGUUUCUCAGCAAGUUUGCAACCUUGUUAAUCUGAUAUAUGUCGCAGUCAACAUUUACAUACUACUGUGCUGUGCGGGAAAACCUUCAGUACCGUUUCAUGCCUGUCAACAUAAAUUGGUAGAUAAGAUGAUGGCCUAUCAUUAUGACCACUGAUGGUUUGAUUCAUUGUCUGCAUCAGCUCUGAGAUCAGUCAAGUUAACUGUGGGUCACCAUAAGGAAAUCUGUGUCUAAACUAAAGCUUAUUUAGCUGUAUAGUGCACAAGUGGAAUAAUACUGAUUAUCAUAAAGGUCAGACAUGCACAUUUUAACGGUGGUAAUGAGUAGUUUUAAAGAUGUUUGAGCCUUUUCUUAAUCUUGCCGUGUCACAAGGCUUCUAUUGUUAUGCACCACAGAAUAUGCCUUUAAUUGUACCAUUUGCCCUAUUGUGUCUUGAUCACAGAGUGAGUAGUAUGAUGUUACUUGUGAUAACCGCCUACCACAUGUCCUGAUAAUUACUAGUCUUCAGUAAAUUGCACAGAGAAGUAACACAGAAGUCUGGUAAAACAAAAGGCUCCAAAAAGUUGAAAGCAAUAUUUAAAUAGUUUCAUGUAGUGUACCAUAUUGUGCUGAAUGUGUGAUGCCUCACAGUAAGGUAUAAAAAAUAAAUAACUCUCAAGCUUGAAUUAUAGAAACUGUAAAGAUACUAGAAAGCAUUUUAAGAAGUCUUAUAAUAAUUAAGAAUUAUUUUAGUUCUGUGGAUGGUCAGAUUGAAUUACCGAGGAAAUAUUGAAAAGAUACUGGAGACCCUGUGAUUCAUCAACAAAAUUAAUGCCUGUGGCAAAUUAUCUUAUGAACUAAGGACAUUCAUUGCAUGUAGAAAGUGGUUUUCACACACAGAUGUGCAAACAGUACUUAUGGUUUCCAAGGGAUGUGCUAUCUCAGUUUCACUUGUAACAGCUCUGAGUAAUUAGUUCCCCUAGUAUUUCAGAAAAAGAAGCUAGGUUGAAAAAUGACAAGUUCAGAUAAUUCGGAAUGGUAGUGUCCAUGAAAACCUCAACAGACAUGUAAAAUAAUCUCAGAAGAAUUCUAAUUGCUGUCAAUGGCUGGGGUAGUGGUCUGAGUGAACCAACCCCAUUUUGAACAUUUUCUUAAAAAGGUCUAUUUAAAUUUAACUUUAAAUAUAAUGCUCUUUAUUUUUAUAACCUAGCCAUGUAUGGAAACUUUUCCUUUAAAAGUGAGUAUACUUGAUAAAAGGAGUUUGGAGGAAGCAUUUGAUGUCAUGGAUUGAAGAACUGACUAGAACAUUCUUUAUACUGACUGCAGACAGUAAAGGCUGGAUGUGCUCAGCACCUUGUAGGAUUGAGCCCCCUAAUCCUGCAAAGAUUGACGAGGGUCCUUAGCUUUAAUCAGUAUGGGCUAGUUCAGAACUCAAAGACAUGGAUUUCCUACUGAGUGCUGAGAUCUGCUGCCAGGAAUGGCUGCUUUCCAAGAAAAUGUGCUACCUUUUCAAGAUAAGUGUUCUCAGGUGAAAGAAUGUCUUCACUGCUGAAUAUGUUUGCUUGCAACAUUUUUAGCAAUAUGAAAUCUUCCAAAUAUUUAAUUUAACCAAGCUGUCCAACAUAAAAAUAAUGGGGAAAGAAAAACCUUGAUGGCUCAGAACUCUAAUCCUUUCUAGCGCUAGUGGUGUGCUCUGCUGAGGACUGUGAUUCCAAUCAGUAUACUGCUCUCAAAGCUGGGAAACAGACUAGCAGGACUAGUACUGCAAGGCAAGUUUCAAGUUAGGUCGCUCAACAAAAAGGCUUAUUUUUUUUAAUUACAGAUAUUGCUUUUCCCUAGGGAAGGAAUUCUGGGACAAUACUGGUGCAUACUGGGAAAUUUUAGGUCAUAGUAUUAUCUACAUAGCCCAUUACGGACUAGUGAAAAGGCUAUUUUGGAGCAUAAUGGAAAGUGACUUCUUUUUUUUUUUUUUUUUUUUUUUUUGCUGUUACGUUUACUCAGCCAUCUGGUCUAAGCAUCCCUGAUGGUGCUGUAAAGUCAGGAAAAAUGUUACAUUCAUUUUGGAGGAUUCCUGAGGAAAACUGAAAACAUGUUCAAAGGCAAAUAGCAGUUUCAAGGAUGUCUUUGACACUCCGUACCACUUCUCAAAGUGCAGGGCUGCUGCAGUGAAAAGAUUGCCUAUGUGAUGUGUACCUGAAAUUAAUAUCUUAGGAUUUGAUAAAAAGGCACCAGCUCUUAGAGUUGGGGGCAUUUUCUCUCCCCAAGGAACCAAGAUUUCUAUUGAACAGAUUCUGUUGGACUACUGGACAUUCUGUUCCCCUGCUUCCACCGUCCAAUGCCAAACAAAUGUUCUAAUGUUGUCCUUGAAAUCCCGACAAGUGGAAGCCAUCAGAAAGAAUGAGAUAGAGCUCCAAGGACUGUAAAAAUCUUCACAAGAGGCCCUUAUUAACAUUGCUCCUGUACCUUAAGAUCGGAAAUUAUACCUUCUGAUUCAGUACAGGCUUCUGCAGAUCAUUUGUGGAGAUAUAAGUAAGGAGCUUCCGUUAAAAAGAGGAAUACUACUUUGCAAAAUCUCUCAAGAGAACCUGAGCUUUUUCACAGUAAAGAAGAAAUGUCAGUGAAAGUAGAUGGUGAAUGUGUGCAUGUGCAUGUAUGUUGUGAGGAGGGGGAGAAAGGAUGUAGGCAGACUCUAGAAUUUUUACAUUUCAAAUGUCUUUUGGAAAUCACUUGUAUACUCUAAAACACAAUCCCUAACUCUUCCCAUGCUAUUAAAAAUGGUCUGCAUACAAAGCUGUAAAAAAAAUUGAUUUGGCAAAAGCUGUUUUAAGUGGUUGCUGGCUUCAAGGAUGCACUAGCUCCAGCUCUAGGUCCAGCGUGAAGGGGAGGAUAUUUAUCUGUUAUGUAUGUGGUAGGCUGAUAGUAAAAUGGAAUAUGUAUCUUCUCUGA
This is a long non-coding RNA of Dermochelys coriacea (leatherback sea turtle), 5938 nucleotides long. RefSeq lists it as uncharacterized. NCBI's taxonomy places the organism in Eukaryota, Metazoa, Chordata, Testudines, Dermochelyidae. The record is from RefSeq and is a predicted model, not a curated record. The transcript has 4 exons.